This 334-nucleotide ribosomal RNA is filed under the name uncultured eukaryote. RNAcentral describes it as "partial 18S ribosomal RNA". It matches the Rfam family "Eukaryotic small subunit ribosomal RNA", at positions 1470 to 1796 of the family's 1831-position model. The record is from RNAcentral.
CCCUUAGAUGUCCGGGGCCGCACGCGCGCUACACUGAAGGAAUCAGCGUGGCUUUCUCCCUGACCCGAAAGGGUUGGGAAACCCGUUGAAUCUCCUUCGUGAUAGGGAUUGGGGCUUGAAAUUGUUCCCCAUGAACGAGGAAUUCCCAGUAAGCGCGAGUCAUCAGCUCGCGUUGAUUACGUCCCUGCCCUUUGUACACACCGCCCGUCGCUACUACCGAUUGAACGGUUUAGUGAGGGCCUCGGAUUGGUCUCGGCCCGCUCUUUACCGGGCGGCGCCGUUGGUCGAGAAGACGCUCGAACUUGAUCGUUUAGAGGAAGUAAAAGUCGUAACA